Molecule: ribosomal RNA, 897 nt
Filed under: uncultured bacterium
Lineage: Bacteria
Description: bacterial SSU rRNA
Rfam family: Bacterial small subunit ribosomal RNA
Source: RNAcentral
CUCAACCUGGGAACUGCAUUCAAAACUGACUGACUAGAGUAUGGUAGAGGGUGGUGGAAUUUCCUGUGUAGCGGUGAAAUGCGUAGAUAUAGGAAGGAACACCAGUGGCGAAGGCGACCACCUGGACUGAUACUGACACUGAGGUGCGAAAAGCGUGGGGAGCAAACGGGAUUAGAUACCCUGGUAGUCCACGCCGUAAAACGAUGUCAACUAGCCGUUGGUAGCCUUGAGCUCUUAGUGGCGCAGCUAACGCAUUAAGUUGACCGCCUGGGGAGUACGGCCGCACGGUUAAAACUCAAAUGAAUUGACGGGGGCCCGCACAAGCGGUGGAGCAUGAGGUUUAAUUCGAAGCAACGCGAAGAACCUUACCAGGCCUUGACAUCCAAUGAACUUUCUAGAGAUAGAUUGGUGCCAUCGGGAACAUUGAGACAGGUGCUGCAUGGCUGUCGUCAGCUCGUGUCGUGAGAUGUUGGGUUAAGUCCCGUAACGAGCGCAACCCUUGUCCUUAGUUACCAGCACGUAAUGGUGGGCACUCUAAGGAGACUGCCGGUGACAAACCGGAGGAAGGUGGGGAUGACGUCAAGUCAUCAUGGCCCUUACGGCCUGGGCUACACACGUGCUACAAUGGUCGGUACAGAGGGUUGCCAAGCCGCGAGGUGGAGCUAAUCCCAGAAAACCGAUCGUAGUCCGGAUCGCAGUCUGCAACUCGACUGCGUGAAGUCGGAAUCGCUAGUAAUCGCGAAUCAGAAUGUCGCGGUGAAUACGUUCCCGGGCCUUGUACACACCGCCCGUCACACCAUGGGAGUGGGUUGCACCAGAAGUAGCUAGUCUAACCUUCGGGAGGACGGUUACCACGGUGUGAUUCAUGACUGGGGUGAAGUCGUAACAAGGUAGCCG